Long non-coding RNA from Gasterosteus aculeatus aculeatus (three-spined stickleback), 458 nucleotides. The record is from Ensembl. NCBI's taxonomy places the organism in Eukaryota, Metazoa, Chordata, Actinopteri, Perciformes, Gasterosteidae.
UUUAAAUUCAAAAAUCAAAAGUUAUUUAAUAACUGAACAACGUAUUAGGGAUUACAAUUACAAAGUGAAAUACUAAGCGAACAGUGGAAUAUUUCGCGAAAUAGAGAAUCCUCUGAGCAAGUCUGAAGUGACUUAUCAACGCGGCUGCAGGAGAAGUUCUAACAGUCUUUUCCCCGCCAUGGUCCUUUGAAACCUCUUGAGGUGUGUCUUCUUUGGUGCAUUUGAAUGUCAUUGGCCUCUUCUCCAAAGGGUCACCUCCUCCAUUGUCCCUUCCACGUCGAGGUGUGUCUUCUUUGGUGCAUUUGAAUGUCAUUGGCCUCUUCUCCAAAGGGUCACCUCCUCCAUUGUCCCUUCCACGUCGAGGUGUGACCCUUUGGAGAAGAGGCCAAUGACAUUCAAAUGCACCAAAGAAGACACACCUCAAGAGGUUUCAAAGGACCAUGGCGGGGAAAAGACUG